This 253-nucleotide ribosomal RNA is filed under the name uncultured bacterium. Its description in RNAcentral is "partial 16S ribosomal RNA". It matches the Rfam family "Bacterial small subunit ribosomal RNA", at positions 524 to 776 of the family's 1533-position model. The record is from RNAcentral.
UACGGAGGGUGCGAGCGUUGUCCGGAAUCAUUGGGCGUAAAGGGCGCGUAGGUGGCCUGGUCAGUCCGUGGUGAAAGCGCGGGGCUCAACCCCGCGUCGGCCAUGGAUACUGCGAGGCUGGAGCACUGUAGAGGCAGGCGGAAUUCCAGGUGUAGCGGUGAAAUGCGUAGAUAUCUGGAGGAACACCGGUGGCGAAGGCGGCAUCCUGGACCGGCAUUGACGCUGAGGCGCGAAAGCCAGGGGAGCAAACGGG